This 672-nucleotide ribosomal RNA is filed under the name Triticum aestivum (bread wheat). RNAcentral's name for it is "partial small subunit ribosomal RNA". The record is from RNAcentral. Lineage: Eukaryota; Viridiplantae; Streptophyta; Magnoliopsida; Poales; Poaceae.
AUGUGGAUGCUCGACGACCUCGUCGAUUCCGGCGGAGCGGCCAUGGGGAGGAGCGGGGAAAACAUGAAAGCUGCACUGCUCAACCUCUUCAUGGUCGACGGCCAGAUGGCCAUGGCUGAGGUGUUGUAUCUUGGCCCCAUGGAGGAGCCUGUGAGGGAAAUCACUGAAUCACAGACUGAUGGUGAUUGUUGGUUCUGGAACCUGAGGUACGGGACAGAGGCUGGCCUUGCUGCUAUUGUCCUCCAUGACAUGCUGGCCUCCUCAUUGUUGGUGCUAUUAGACUACUACCAAAUGCAAGUGCCAAUUGAUGAUGUGCAUCCUUUAAUGGCGGCGCCGGGCAAAGCUAGCGAUAGUAGCAUGGACUGUUUCACCCUGCCAAAACAAUCAGAUAUGACCUGCUCAUCCAUUAGGAUCAUAUCUAGGCUAAUAAGCUCAUUGGUCGUAGGAUUGACUGAAUCCCACACUCAUUGUGUUCACUUGAAUGUCCUAAUUAUGUCCGCUUGCCAGAAGUGCUUUGGCGUGACUUCUUCCAACGUUGAUUGGAGCAAUUGGGCGUGGCUUCAUCAGGCGUCAAGCAUGCUUUGGCGUAAAUUUGUCGGACGUCAAGUGAAGCAGCUGGGCAUGGAUUUUUCUGGUAGCUCCGAUGACUUCAAUCUGUUCAAGUCAUGGUGA